AUUGAACGCUGGCGGCAUGCCUUACACAUGCAAGUCGAACGGCGGCACGGGAGCAAUCCUGGUGGCGAGUGGCGAACGGGUGAGUAAUAUAUCGGAACGUGCCCAGUCGUGGGGGAUAACGCAGCGAAAGCUGUGCUAAUACCGCAUACGAUCUAAGGAUGAAAGCGGGGGAUCGCAAGACCUCGCGCGAUUGGAGCGGCCGAUAUCAGAUUAGCUAGUUGGUGGGGUAAAGGCCCACCAAGGCGACGAUCUGUAGCUGGUCUGAGAGGACGACCAGCCACACUGGAAAUGAGACACGGUCCAGACUCGUACGGGAGGCAGCAGUGGGGAAUUUUGGACAAUGGGCGCAAGCCUGAUCCAGCAAUGCCGCGUGCAGGAUGAAGGCCUUCGGGUUGUAAACUGCUUUUGUACGGAACGAAACGGCCCUUUCUAAUACAGGGGGCUAAUGACGGUACCGUAAGAAUAAGCACCGGCUAACUACGUGCCAGCCGCCGCCGUAA
RNAcentral lists this ribosomal RNA (500 nucleotides) under uncultured bacterium. RNAcentral's name for it is "partial 16S ribosomal RNA". It matches the Rfam family "Bacterial small subunit ribosomal RNA", at positions 30 to 523 of the family's 1533-position model. The record is from RNAcentral.